RNAcentral lists this ribosomal RNA (442 nucleotides) under uncultured bacterium. Its description in RNAcentral is "partial 16S ribosomal RNA". It matches the Rfam family "Bacterial small subunit ribosomal RNA", at positions 338 to 795 of the family's 1533-position model. The record is from RNAcentral.
CCUACGGGAGGCAGCAGUGGGGGAUAUUGCACAAUGGGGGAAACCCUGAUGCAGCGACGCCGCGUGGGCGAAGAAGUCUUUCGGUUUGUAAAGUCCUAUCAGCAGGGAAGAGUAAAUGACGGUACCUGUGGAAUAAGCACCGGCUAACUACGUGCCAGCAGCCGCGGUAAUACGUAUGUGGCAAGCGUUAUCCGGAUUUACUGGGUGUAAAGGGCGUGUAGCCGGGAUGCCAAGUCAGAUGUGAAAGCCUGCGGCUUAACCGCAGAACUGCAUUUGAAACUGUUGAUCUGGAGUACCGGAGAGGCAGACGGAAUUCCUAGUGUAGCGGUGAAAUGCGUAGAUAUUAGGAGGAACACCAGUGGCGAAGGCGGCCUGCUGGACAGUAACUGACGGUGAGGCGCGAAAGCGUGGGGAGCAAACAGGAUUAGAUACCCCAGUAGUC